Molecule: ribosomal RNA, 253 nt
Filed under: uncultured bacterium
Lineage: Bacteria
Description: partial 16S ribosomal RNA
Rfam family: Bacterial small subunit ribosomal RNA
Source: RNAcentral
UACGUAGGGUGCUAGCGUUGUUCGGAAUUACUGGGCGUAAAGCGCCCGUAGGCGGUGGCGUAUGUCAGAUGUGAAAGCCCUGGGCUUAACCUAGGAAUUGCAUUUGAAACUGCGCCGCUAGAGUCCGGAAGAGGGUAGUGGAAUUCCCAGUGUAGAGGUGAAAUUCGUAGAUAUUGGGAAGAACACCGGUGGCGAAGGCGGCUACCUGGGCCGGUUCUGACGCUGAGGUGCGAAAGCGUGGGGAGCAAACAGG